Long non-coding RNA from Ostrea edulis (European flat oyster), 341 nucleotides. RefSeq lists it as uncharacterized. The record is from RefSeq and is a predicted model, not a curated record. The transcript has 3 exons. Lineage: Eukaryota; Metazoa; Mollusca; Bivalvia; Ostreida; Ostreidae.
UAUAUAAUUAUAUUUUGGCCAAAUGUCCCUUGUGUCUUUUAAUUUCAUUGGUGUUUUAGUUUGUCUUAUGUCAUUGGAUUGGUCUUGGAGAUUUUCCCUCCAAGAGUUCUGUUCUUUGUGGUCAGUCUUUAUUCAGUUUUUGAAGAAGAGAGUUGAUUUCAGUAGAUCUGACAUAUUUUGACAAUUAGACAUAGACCGACAUUUUUCCUCUUGAAUGAUCAGACCAGUUUGGUGUCAUCUGUAAAUAUUGUUCACUCGAGCCUAUUCCCAUAGAAUGGGUUUCAUCAUUGGACAAUUCGUGCAUUGGUAACUCCUGAAUAAACGUCUUGUCGAGAACCCAA